CUGGUUUUGGAAAUGGAGUGCAAGCAUGGCAGCAGAGGACAGGUGACAGACAAAGUUUCACUUGACAUACGGUAUUUUACAAUUCAUAAAAUGUUUCAUAUUCAGGAAUAAAUCUCUGUGUAUUUAGUUGAGUCUGUGACUUGGCUUUGUGGAAGUAUGGGGGUGCCGCCAAGGGCCUUCAUACAGUAUGGUAACAUGCUAUGCUAACUAUGCAAACACAGGCCUCUCAGGUGGUUUGGUGUUUAAAUAAGUGUGGCUGUAUAACCUAAAAGCAUGCAAAUGUUUUUUUCCAGCUUUCCCACUGACACCUACCCCUUCACAAUGGUUUCAGGCAUCAAAAAUCUCAGUAUUAAAACUGUACAUCUUGUCACUAAUGGUAUUUGCUUUUUUAUAUCAUAAGAAGGCAUCAGUAGGAAUUUCCUGAGUUCAUUCAUUACAAUAAAAAAACAACUACUAAUGAGAUUAAAGAUCUUCAGCUAUUUGAGUUACUGUGAUAGUGAGAGAUUUUGGACUAAGUUAGAGCAAACAAAAGACAGUAAUAAUUGCAGGUGAACUCUCUGCACUCCUUUACACACACAGACUGAGACAGCACAUAAGCCAGCAGGCAGGUACCUGUAUCACCUCUAACAAAUCAAAGUCAGUCAUGGCCUCUUAUUCUGUCAUUUCAGAAGUACCACUGAUGUCUGCGGGGAACAAGAAAGGAGCGACUUGGCUGGAUGGAGGCCACGUGGAGGUAAAGGAUGAUUAUAUUCUGCUAGCUCUCUCUCUCUGCUGUCAUCUCCCAACAUUUCUCUUCUGCACAAUGACAAUGAGGAGGACGGGUUAGAACACCCGUCACCCUAAUGUCUCCCUGCCUUAUCAUGAGGAGCUCAUAAAGAUCUUCUCUCUUCCCCUCAAGUAGGCCAAUCUGUGUGUCAGGCACAAAAGGGACUGCCCACACACACAAACACACUCAUAAACACACGGAUGUUUUAUGCCAGGAUCACUUGUGGAGCUCCAAAAGUGAACAUGUACAGUCUUGCUCCCUUAAAAAAAUGCAACUCCCAAUGUGAAUGUUUUUUUUUUAUCCUAUUCACACAGUGGCUGUUUUUCUCUAAUGUCAAACUCAAGAUAGACAGCUCAUAGUCCAUUACAAUAAGGACAUUUACAUGAUGUUAAGAAAAAACAUUAGCCUGAGUUAAAUAGCGCUAAUUUCUUAAAGACAGGCUGAUAUCAAGACAAUGCAGUUGAGGAUUGAUUUUCUUCUGCAUGUGUACAUCUCAGUCUGGGCCCAAGCUGGCCCAAACACAAUUCACAUGCAGUGUUUUAACCUGAAGGUCAACUAGCAUAAAUGUGUUGAGGUGAGUCCACAAAGUCUUCCAAAAGAAAUAGAAAGGGAAGUAGAGAAGUUGUAACUAUUGUAUGGUAUACAUGAAAAUUGUCCAUAUUUUCAUCGUUCAACAUUUAACCAACCAGCCUCUUGCUAACUUGUUUGUUGACUGUUUGGGUUUAUGUGACAUUGUACUGUAGGUCAGUGUUGUUUUUGGCAGGCAUUUUAGAUUUAGUUUUAGUCUUAGUCAUUUUGACGAAAUGCUUCUUCGUUUUAGUCCCAUUUUAGUCAUUUCUAUCCUUGAUAGUUUUCGUCUAGUUUUAGUCCGACGAAAACUCAAAAGGUUUUAGUCUAGUUUUAGUCGACGAAAAGGUGCCUUUUGAGUUUCGUGGUGUUCUUUCCCGACAGUUUGAAGCCGCAGCAUGAGGAAGCUGUGGCUCCACAACUGUCGUCUGUCUCGUCUCCCCGUCCCCGUCCAAGACAUUGUGUUUUAUUGUCACUUGGACUGUAUCUGAAGUAAAUCAUCCCUCUUUUUUCGGCCACCGGGCAUCGCUGCUGUGCCUGCCGCCACGGUGUGUGUGUGUGUGUGUGCGCGCCUCGUCCACCUGCCGCUCUGUGUAUGUGUAUGAGUGUGUGCGCGCAGCUGUGCGCGAGCGAGGCUUUUGGUGCCUGUGUGAUGGGGGCGUGACUGUUAGGCCAAAAAAAAAAAACAUGUUUUGAAACUUUGUUCGUCCACCUAAUAACAAUUUAGUCUCGUCCCGUUCUCGUCUGACGAAAAUGAAUACAAUUUUCAUCACAUUUUAGUCUUUACAGAGCUUUGGUGAGGUUCGUCUUAGUCUCAUUUUCGUCAAGGAAAAAAGGGGUCUGACAUUGUCAUUUAAGUUUUCGUCCUGCCUGACGAAAACAACACUGCUGUAGGUCGACUGGGAGACAGCCCUAUGGUAUCCAGCUUAAUGAGGGAAAGUCCAGUUCUAUUGCAUUAUUGAGCUAUGACUCUAGCUUGACUUAAAUUUGCAUGUGAACGCACUUUGUGUUUUUAUUUUGUGCCAUGUUACAGGUGUUAAGUCAUGUAGUUUUAGGUUUUCUGGAAAUCUAGUCAAUUCACUGCGAUGAACAAGGAGAGAGAAAGUCAAGUCAUAAUUCAAAAUCAAGUAACGCUAAUCCAUUGACAAAAAUGGCUAAAUCACUAACAAAAUAAUACAGCUGUUUAGGAAAAUUAGUUGGUGAUGGGGAGUUGGUCUAUUCACAUUUGGUCUAUUUUAAAGUAGUUCUCAUGUAUAACUAGGGUAAUGAUGGCUAGCUGGACAGUUGUGAAGAUAAGGUAUUAACUGUUUUGUGAAGGCUGCUUAUGAAUGAAUGACAAACAAAUAACAUAUUUUAUUUUGAUCUAUAUAUAUACACAUUCCCCAGAUGUUUGACAAUCAGUUGUUUGUAGGGUAAUGAUGGAGUAUUAGGAUGUAGUCUUUAAUUAUUGAAAUUGCAGCCAAAAAUCCACCAACACUCCACUGAAAAAGCAUUUUAGAUUUCUAUCCUGAGUGUGAUUUUAGAAGAUAAUGAUUGCAAUGUGAAACUGGUGAAUUAUUAGUUGUUGAUAAAUUGUAGAUAAGUGAUUUUUUGAAUUAAAUUUCAGUUUGAUUGAACAACCAGCUGUACUGUUGCAAAAAAGAAAAUCAGCCUAGCCCUCUGUGGUGGAGCUCGCUGUCAACAGUUUAAAGGUCCCUGUUUAACCUCUCAUUGACCUGUAACCUUUCACCUCCAACAGCGCUAUAUUCUUAGCAUCUGGUGAUUGAUAAUCAAAGUAGCUUGAUGGCAUUUUUAAUCAAUCUUUUUCAAUUAUUUCCAUGUGAUGCUCCUUUAUGGAUCAAUAAUUCAAUCCAUGGCAGUUCACCUUUUAUUAAAAAAAUCUUCUGUUAGGUGCAAAAUUAAAGUGACUGAAGCUAGCAUCUAUGAUCCAUCAGAUCCAAGCGUCAGAUCAACCUGUGCUUGUCACUGUGUUUCUGCUGUGCAGCUUUUUUAGGUCCUCCACAGACAGACAGUGCCGGGUUGUCACAAAUAUACCAUGUGAAUGGGAGAGAAAAGAGGCAAUUUGGAUCCUCAUUAAAUUUUCAAAAGUCCUGAUGGUCCUCUGAAAAUUGAACCAACUGUUCCAACGCAACCUUAAUUUUAUGCUACAGUAAGUGCAAAUUAGUUUCACAAAAAUUAUUUUUAAUCACACACUGCAGAGUUAAUUUGCUGUGUGGUAAUUUUCCAUGCUACCCCCUUAGUAUCCCACUUAGUCAUGAACCACGAUGACACAUAUGAUCUGUGUUCAAUCCAGGCCGUCCUUCGGUUCAGGCGCAGUGUUUCUCUAGUACCCACUCUGCCAGUACUCUGCCUACUGCAUAAACACAAUGACGGGAUUUCCUUACAGCAACACAGGAGGCCAAGGAUAGCCUUUUAUUAUCGGUAAUAGUGAUCUUACACUGUUAGAUUAUGGUGUUUUUAUAUUACAUUUCACUGAUUGCAGUUAUUUGAUCCUUUUCUUAAUAUUCUUCAUAUCACACAAGAAUUAUGAUGUAUCAUAUUGAUGCAUCCUUAGCAUUUGGGUAUUUAAAGAGUAUGUAAUACUGCAUAAAUUAGCUUGAAAGUUGUCAUAUAUAUUGUGAUUAGAUUCACUAUUAUCUUACAAAACAUCAUGUGUUUGCUUAUAUCCACAGACCCUUCUCUAUAUUCUAUACAGCUUUAGGUCCAUGCAAAUGUAAUCAUUGUGAAUUCACACUUAUAUGACUCAGAACAUAAUUAGUAUUGUGUAAGAUAUGCGGUCCAUUUUGUUGAGCAUAAUUGUAUAUAAGAAAAACAAUACAAGCUGGAUGGAGGGUGCAUGCACAGUAUAUUUAUGGCGCAUGUUUUAUGAACUCAUGUAGAUGCAACACUCAUUCUCUCUGGAGUCUCUCCCUUGAGAAGACAAGACAAAAUGCAUAACUUCAUGUUUACAGACAACACAGGAGAGGGUAAUUAAGUAACGAGAACCAAAGUAAGAGCAAAACACAUGCUGCCUAAAAUAAUAUGGGCUACAACAAAUAACAUUUUGUGUGCUGCAAAGCUCCUGUGAGUUUUUUUUAACAGGUUGUGAAACAGAAUGAUAUUAAUAUAAGUUUGUAUUAGUGCAACAUUCACUUUUAUCUCAACAUUUGAAUUAUACUGUCUUUGGCUUCAAGUCCCUUUUAGAUCUUCAUUGUCACAUUAAGAGAGAUCAAUCACAAAAAGCCCCUGAAAGAGACACAUAAUUAGCAUUUAUAGACGAGUGAACAGCCAUCAAAGUAAAAACUGCAUUUUUCCAAUGUUCUUCCCUAAUAACGUAAUACUUUGACGACAUUUGUCUGAUGUUCUUCUUCUUGAUUGACUGAAACAGAAAGCUCAACCAGCUGCAGACCUCUGUGAGACAUACAAGUGGUGUAGAGCCUUCAGCAGUUCAUGACACGAUGUUCACAUAUUCUCAGUAGGUAAAGCUAAUUUGCAGCCUGUCAUGAACCUGAGACACAGAAACCAGAAUGACCUAUGCUGAAUGAACACUUUAGGGCUUCUUCAUCGUAAGUAAUGAGUCUAAUCUAAAAGUUCCAAAUUAGUCUUGAAUUAAAAGGAAAAAUGAUCGUUCCUGCUUCAGGUUGGUUAGAGACAUUAGUUGAGUACAUUUGCAAGAUCCUUUCCUUUUGAUUCUCUGACUCAAAAUUAAAACUGAUCCUGAUAAGGCAAAGAUGUACACUGUUUAAGAGUGGUGUGAAUAUUUCUUUCAUUUUCUCAUCUCAUUUGAUACAUGAUUAAUGACAUUACUUGGCAAAGUUCAGUAUUUUUCAAACUGAAUGUAAUAACUUUACAAAGAGUUCAUGGUAUUAUGAACAGCAAUUACUCGACUGAUGUGCGAACUUUAGAUAAAACACAACAUUUCUGCUGCUAGACCAAAGACAAAGAAGUCCAUCAUAAAUGACUGUUGCUUCUAAAGCUGUGUUCAUGGUAUAAGAACAGUUAUUUCAGCUGCAUUGGAGCGUUUUCUAAAAGGCACAAUGGCAGCUAAACUGUUUCACCACCCAGUCAACCUUUAGGUUCACUUCAUUAUCACCCUUGCCAGAUUGUGACAGUAGUCUGCCUCUUAUUCUUUGUGAGAAAGGUCAAAUUGAGAAGUGAUUGUACAGUGGCAGAGGUUGGGCCCUUUUAAUAGUUCUCUACUGGGAUGGAAAUUGCAUUGCAUCACCCUUGGUUGUUGAAAAAGUGAGAGGAACAUUGUGUUAAGUAAUUGGCUAGAUGACGGUAUGAAAGGCUUGUGGGAUGUUUGAUAGGGAAAGAAACUGAAAAGAUCUUACUGACACCGAUGCCUUAUUGGUUCUGCUUACUGAUCCAUUUCUUUCUAGAUUCCCUCAUCAGUUCCUGUGGUAAAGAGUAGGCUCAUGCAGCUUUUUAGAGUCAACAACACAAGUGUUAUUUACCCUUACUCUGCUUAGACAGGGUAGCCUGGCUUCUAACCAGGCAUGUACAUGCAAAGUUUCUGCUUCUGAUUGGUCAACAAAUCAGAAUAACAACAGAGACACUAUUUCUAAAAGGUCAUAAACUGUUGAAAAUUACCUUUGUUUUUGAGGGAUUGGAUCCAGACAGUCUCUAUAAAUACAAUCAUCUUUUCUGAGGGAGGAUCCUGUAAAAGAAACACUUUAAUGUUCUAGCCUGAAAGCUGUCGGACUCACUAAGUGAGUGGAUUUUACUGUAAGGUGGGACAUCAAACAUUGUAACUUUAGAGCUGAUGUUGUCAGCACAGCAAUAUUAAUUUGUAUACCAUGGCAUUUUGGACAGCUGCCAUUUUCACUGACUGCCUUUCAGGAUACAUCAUGUCAUUGUUUUGAGGGAAUAGGUGGUAGGCAUGGCUGAGGGAACUUGUAAGGAUAAGGCAAAAUUAUGUCAGUGGCUCAAAGUAGUGAAAAUCAGUUCUGAUCUGUAACUGCUUUAUGAUUGCACUCGGAUCCCCAUCAGCUUACACACAGAACUUUGACUGUAAAUCACUCCCUUUCUGUAUCUAAAUAAAUCUUAAGUUUGGGGUGCAAGUCUCUACCCACAACUUGAAAUCUGGCCCCUCAGAAGAAGUCACAGUACACGGCCACUGACUCCAAGCCUGUCCAUCACAACAGAGGGCCCAACAGAACAAUAAAAAGCCCCCUCGGGAAAUAUGCCAGAUCUCAGAGUUGGCCCCUAUAUGAGAUUUUGUCCUAGAAGCAGCACAUAUGUUCCCUGGGGCGGGAUGAACGGCCCCGCCUGGGAUGAUGGGGAGAGAGAAGGAAAGAGGAUAGAUGAAAGAGGAAAAGGAGGAGGACAGACGAGUGUCUCCAUCUGUGUGUGGAUCUGGGGGGCUUACAGAAGGUUACAUCUCCCCCUGGAGAAGACGGGAGUCCUAGGCAGAUAGCAUCGAACACAGACUGAGUUUCUCUCUUCACUGGCCUUGUGCUCCAAAGCUGCCGUGUUCCAGCUGGUAUUGGUAGCAAAAUGAACAGCCAAAGUAAGUACAUGGCACAGAAACACAUGUGACAUCUAUGUACUUGUGCUUUCCACUGUUGAUUCUCUGUAUUCUGGCUCAAUUAUCAUGGCUCUAACUGCAGAUAUUUAAAGAGCGCAUGUCUGCACUUUGCAUAUUUAUCUCAUGACAGCUUUUUGGAUACAUACAGUCCAUAAUGUCACAGUAACAUAUUUAUCGUAUGUGCUCAUGUGCAUUGCUUGUGUAUAAAUGCACAGCCUUUGCAAUAAACGUGUUUAACUUAUACGCGCUUGUAUUUGUGAGCUUGCGCAUGUAAAUCCAGGGAACUGGCCAUCUCCCUGGCAGACAGUGACCAUCUGGCCAAGGGCUUUGGAGACAGAGCCUGUCUGUUCAGCACUAUAACCCUUAUCCCCAUGCCAUCUCUCAGAUGCCCCUGCCACUCUCUAGGGUCUCCCGUCACACCGGAAGAGGCACUCUGAAAUGUAUGAGAGAUGACAGACGGGGAUGUCUGGCAUGGACUGGACUAAAGAGAGAGUGCAAGAGAGGAGGGAAAAAUUGUCAGACAGCCAAACCAAGCAGACACAUAUCAUCAUUCUAUUGGGCAAGGAUCCAAAUCAAUAUCUUGUUACUGACAAAGGCAGUAGGUUUGAUGUAUGCUGUUGUUCUGUCCUCGGGGUUGAACACACAUCACCGGCCCUGAGGUGUGACUGUCUGCACACACAUCACUUGUGUUAGUGUGAGGCUGUAUAGCUCAUGGCAAGGGGUGUAUGUUGGUUCACUGGCUGCGGCUCAUCACAUAUUUUCAAGUCUGAGUCAGUUUUGUCCCUGGUAGAUGAAAGGCCUCAAAACUAUAAAUCAGGACAUGCAGUUAUUUCCUGUGUGUGUGAAGAUAUGCACAUGGAGAACACACAUGGUGCACAGACAAUCAAGCAGUGUGAGAGGGAAAUAAAGAGAGUACUAGGGCUGUGCUAAAAUAAUCUAGAACUCAGUUUAUGAGGACCAUGCACCAAGGGUAGAGGGGCAUUUGGUAAUGGACUGAGAAAGUAAGUGCCCAUUAACGCUAUGAAAGCACAGGUUACAUGAUUAAAAUAGUUUUCAGCCAACGGGGAUGAUGUUUUUAUUUUCUGAGUCUGAGAGAGACGUUCUGCACAGAGCCUAAUUAUUAAACUUCAGCAUAGCUGAGGUCAAACAAAGAAUAGAAAGUCAACUUCACAGUUUUCUCCUCAGAAAGAAAGAUUUAGUGUGAGGACAAAGAAAUUGGUUUGCUGAUUAUUGUUUGUAAUUAUCACUUUUUAUCCAUUAAUUAUUCUGAUAAAUCCAAGGUGAGCAGCACAGGAGUCCUUAAAAAAAACCACAUCGCUUCAUAGCCCACCUUAAAGGAACUGUGUAUGGUUCAUUGGAUCAUUUCCUAUUAUCACAAUUACUGACUCAUACUGUAUUCUAUCACUUAAUCUCACACUGUCUAUGUCCACAAACUCUGGAUCCCAACUGCACUGCAUUGUGUUGUAUCAAACAUUUCUAUAUUGCAAUAUAAAGUAUUACAACAAAGUUAUCGAAAUGCAUUGUAUCACAGUGCACAAUGUUGCAAAGCACCACAUUACAGUACAGUACAGUACCGUACAAGCAUCAUACUGCAACACAUUCAGUGUUACAUGCACAGCUUAAUCAGACUGAGCGCAUAAUUUGUUUUUUUUUCCGCUGAAUCGGAUUUCUUUCCUUGUCCGCGUAUACAUGCAGCUGAGAAAAUCAAAUUAUUGACGUGAAUGUGUCCUCCUCCCAAAAACUAGGGGGCGAUAUGGGUCUUUUCAGCGGCGCUGUUUCCAGUUGACCCAACAACAACAGCAGGUCCGCGCCAGAUGCUAGAAGUGGCUAAAACUGCUGCUUGGCAUUUUCGAGCAAGAAGAUGGAGCAUCUUACAGUGUUGUUUUUGUCGUACAUGAUGUACAUGCCCCUUUUUCUGCAGAUGAGGUACAUGCUACUCCUCUUCUCUGGUGUUUUUGUUCUGGGGUUACGGGGGCGUGGCGCACGCACACAUGCAUUGUCCGAUCAUACUCUGACUACGCUGGUUACAUGGUAGAGGAAAUCGAAUUCCAAUCUCAAACACCGAUUGGAGUCAGACUAAGGUGUUUGCAUGCACUUCAGUUGUCCGGUUUUAAUCGGAGUAAAGCAGUAAUUGGGUUAUCUCGAGUGUCAUGUCAACGUACUGAUUGUAUCCAAUACAAAGUACUGCAGUCUUUCACACCAUAACUCGUCAUAUCACAGUGCAUCUUACAACACAUAGUACUAUAAUGCAUUGUUGCACAACACAUCACAUGCAAUGCAUCAAAACAUCAUGAUACACCAUUGUGUUUUAACACGUUAUGAUAUUAUUUUGUAUUUGACCAUUGGUUAUACAUCUAAGUGUUACACAUGAAGUCAUGAUUUACUGUAUUUAAAUGCAUCAUGUCCCAGUGGUGCAUACUGUAUCAUAUCAGACACAUUUUAAUUGCAUCGUAUCACAUCUCACUGUAUGUACACAAUGUGUUCCAAGGUCUCAUAAGACAUAACAUCAUACUGUAUUGUAUUGUAUCAUAUAUAAUCUAUAUUUCCAGAUAUAUUCAUUUCAUUGAAUUGUAUCCUAUUUCAUUUUAUUCAUUCAAUCUGUUUGUGGUUUGAGUUUGAAUCCAUGCAGUAAUAGUCAUCUGCUCAUCAGUGCUCAUCUCAGUUUCCAUAAAAACUGCCUCAACUUAGACAUUGUUUGCUAAAUAUUCAGAC
Molecule: non-coding RNA, 9554 nt
Organism: Xyrichtys novacula (pearly razorfish)
Lineage: Eukaryota; Metazoa; Chordata; Actinopteri; Labriformes; Labridae
Source: the annotation of a GenBank genome assembly